Molecule: transfer RNA, 68 nt
Filed under: Agenioideus sp. SJW-2017
Lineage: Eukaryota; Metazoa; Arthropoda; Insecta; Hymenoptera; Pompilidae
Description: tRNA-Phe
Source: RNAcentral
AUCUAAAUAGCUUAAAGAAAGCAUAAUAUUGAAGAUAUUAAGAAGGAUAAAUUUAUUACCUUUAGAUA